RNAcentral lists this microRNA precursor (60 nucleotides) under Lingula anatina. RNAcentral describes it as "Lan-Mir-31-P6_pre stem-loop". The record is from RNAcentral. Lineage: Eukaryota; Metazoa; Brachiopoda; Lingulata; Lingulida; Lingulidae.
AGGCAAGAUGUUGGCAUAGCUGAGUGUAAUUCGCCAUCAGCUGUGCUGCGGAUUGCCACC